RNAcentral lists this ribosomal RNA (986 nucleotides) under Triticum aestivum (bread wheat). RNAcentral describes it as "partial small subunit ribosomal RNA". The record is from RNAcentral. Lineage: Eukaryota; Viridiplantae; Streptophyta; Magnoliopsida; Poales; Poaceae.
CGGACAUUCUACUCGCCAAUGAUUCAACAACAUAUAUUAGCAUCUGCGCUGAUAAGAUUUAAGAUACAGCGCGAUGAAAUUACGAGAUGAGACAGACUCUGUUGUUGGAAUUUGUAUACAGCCGAAACUGCAGCAACAUCUACAGUAGUGCGCAAAGCUUGACUGCCGGUGUGUGUAGCUGAAAGAAACAAGGGCACGUACCUCUACACACGAGGUGAUGAAGGACGUCUCCAGAGGGGAUCGCAGUGGUUGAAGCUUCUUCAGUUUCGUCGGACUUGAAUUUCUACUCUGAAAUGAACCACCAUAUCUGCAUCCCUGACUUUCUUAUGGGCGCAAAAUGAGAUUGUGUGAACGAUAACCACAACUUGACAAGGAAAACACCUCUGCUAACCUCAUUAACUCAACUGAAAAUACGUAUUUCUGAACACUCCCUGAACUUGCUUUUACAGAUUACAAAAAUUCCUCUGCUAACCUCAUUAACUCAACUUGUAAUAAUGCACUCGUAUUUCCCAACUCCUGAAUCACUGUAAUGAUUACCACUACCAUCCAGGACCAGUCACGCAAAAGUACCUGCUAGUUUACUUAGGUAACUGAAAUUGUCAGGGAACUCCAUGAACCAUCCCCACUUGCUUGCAUCUGCUACACUUUACCCUACUGUGGAUCUCUUGUCCAGCAAUACCACAGCAUUUUCUAGGGAAGCAGUUACCCACAACAAUUGUGGUACAGGAGGCCUUUCAUGCAAGGCUUCCUAUACACUCACGACUUCCCUUCAGGGAACGCAAGUAAAACACCGACCUUGUACAGCUUGCCACCACAUUGUGUGACGAUUCGGUAUUCGACUAGACAAUCUGUGCAACUUCUACUCGCUUCAUUCACUGCUACUCAAUGUAAAAUAUUAGGAGACCAUGACAGUUCUAAUGCAAAGGAUACAGAGGAGCUAACUGCAGUCCCCUCCACAUUUUCUCAUCCGGGCUUGGGACCGGCAA